This 253-nucleotide ribosomal RNA is filed under the name uncultured Heliothrix sp. Its description in RNAcentral is "partial 16S ribosomal RNA". It matches the Rfam family "Bacterial small subunit ribosomal RNA", at positions 524 to 776 of the family's 1533-position model. The record is from RNAcentral. Lineage: Bacteria; Bacillati; Chloroflexota; Chloroflexia; Chloroflexales; Roseiflexaceae.
GACGGAGGGGGCAAGCGUUGUCCGGACUCACUGGGCGUAAAGCGCACGUAGGCGGUCAUCUGCGUCGGUGCUGAAAGCGCCAGGCUCAACCUGGCGAGGCGUGCCGAUACGAGGUGACUGGAGGCAGGCAGAGGGUGGCGGAAUUCCGGGUGUAGUGGUGAAAUGCGUAGAGAUCCGGAGGAACGCCUGUGGCGCAAGCGGCCACCUGGGCCUGACCUGACGCUGAGGUGCGAAAGCGUGGGGAGCGAACCGG